AGAGUUUGAUCCUGGCUCAGGACGAACGCUGGCGGCGUGCUUAAUACAUGCAAGUCGUACGAGGAGCGGGGCUCGCCCCGCAUCCGAGUGGCGAACGGGUGAGUAACACGUGACCAACCUGUCUCUGAGGCGAGGGACAACCCGGGGAAACCUGGGCUAAUACCGCAUGAUGUCUCGACCGCCGCAUGGCGACGAGAUCAAAGGGGGCCUCUGCUUGCAAGCUCCCGCCUUGAGAGGGGGUCGCGGCGUAUCAGCUAGUUGGUGGGGUAACGGCUCACCAAGGCUACGACGCGUAGCGGGUCUGAGAGGAUGAUCCGCCACAUUGGGACUGAGAUACGGCCCAGACUCCUACGGGAGGCAGCAGUAGGGAAUAUUGCGCAAUGGGCGAAAGCCUGACGCAGCGACGCCGCGUGUGGGAGGAAGCUCUUCGGGGUGUAAACCACUGUCAAAGGGGAAGAACCUCGCCGACGUGAAUAGCGUCGGCGACUGACGGUACCCUUAGUAGGAAGCGCCGGCUAACUCCGUGCCAGCAGCCGCGGUAACACGGAGGGCGCGAGCGUUGUUCGGAAUUACUGGGCGUAAAGGGCGGUCAGGCGGUGGUGCAAGUUGCUUAUGAAAGAUACCGGCUCAACCGGUAUAGUGUGGGCAAAACUGCGCGACUAGAGAGAGACAGAGGGCAGUAGAAUUCCGGGUGUAGUGGUGAAAUGCGUAGAUAUCCGGAGGAAUACCGGCGGCGAAGGCGGCUGCCUGGGUCUCAGCUGACGCUGACCCGCGAAAGCGUGGGUAGCGAACGGGAUUAGAAACCCCGGUAGUCCACGCUGUAAACGAUGCACAUUAGGCGUUCGGUUGCGCUUCGGCGCAAUUGAGUGUCGCAGCAAACGCGAUAAAUGUGCCGCCUGGGGAGUACGGUCGCAAGGCUAAAACUCAAAGGAAUUGACGGGGGCCCGCACAAGCAGCGGAGCGUGUAGUUUAAUUCGAGGCGACGCGAAGAACCUUACCUGGGCUUGACAUCGUGGUAGUACGGAAGCGAAAGCGGAAGGGCCCUUCGGGGAGCCAUGACAGGUGCUGCAUGGCUGUCGUCAGCUCGUG
Molecule: ribosomal RNA, 1089 nt
Filed under: uncultured bacterium
Lineage: Bacteria
Description: bacterial SSU rRNA
Rfam family: Bacterial small subunit ribosomal RNA
Source: RNAcentral